GCGGCGGACGGGCGAGUAACGCGUGGGUAACCUACCCUGUACACACGGAUAACAUACCGAAAGGUAUGCUAAUACGGGAUAAUAUAUUUGAGAGGCAUCUCUUAAAUAUCAAAGGUGAGCCAGUACAGGAUGGACCCGCGUCUGAUUAGCUAGUUGGUAAGGUAACGGCUUACCAAGGCGACGAUCAGUAGCCGACCUGAGAGGGUGAUCGGCCACAUUGGAACUGAGACACGGUCCAAACUCCUACGGGAGGCAGCAGUGGGGAAUAUUGCACAAUGGGCGAAAGCCUGAUGCAGCAACGCCGCGUGAGUGAUGAAGGCCUUCGGGUCGUAAAACUCUGUCCUCAAGGAAGAUAAUGACGGUACUUGAGGAGGAAGCCCCGGCUAACUACGUGCCAGCAGCCGCGGUAAUACGUAGGGGGCUAGCGUUAUCCGGAUUUACUGGGCGUAAAGGGUGCGUAGGCGGUCUUUCAAGUCAGGAGUGAAAGGCUACGGCUCAACCGUAGUAAGCUCUUGAAACUGGGAGACUUGAGUGCAGGAGAGGAGAGUGGAAUUCCUAGUGUAGCGGUGAAAUGCGUAGAUAUUAGGAGGAACACCAGUUGCGAAGGCGGCUCUCUGGACUG
Molecule: ribosomal RNA, 622 nt
Filed under: uncultured bacterium
Lineage: Bacteria
Description: bacterial SSU rRNA
Rfam family: Bacterial small subunit ribosomal RNA
Source: RNAcentral